GAAAUGCGAUAAUUAAUGUGAAUUGCAGAUUUCAGUGAAUCAUCGAGUCUUUGAACGCACAUUGCGCCCCCUGGUAUUCCGGGGGGCAUGCCUGUCCGAGCGUCAUUGCUGUCCUCAAGCACGGCUUGUGUGUUGGGCUUCCGUCCCUGGCAACGGGGACGGGCCCAAAAGGCAGUGGCGGCACCAUGUCUGGUCCUCGAGCGUAUGGGGCUUUGUCACCCGCUCCCGUAGGUCCAGCUGGCAGCUAGCCUCGCAACCAAUCUUUUUAACCAGGUUGACCUCGGAUCAGGUAGGGAUACCCGCUGAACUUAAGC
This 314-nucleotide unclassified non-coding RNA is filed under the name plant metagenome. RNAcentral describes it as "partial contains 5.8S ribosomal RNA, internal transcribed spacer 2, and large subunit ribosomal RNA". The stretch from base 1 to 105 matches the Rfam family "5.8S ribosomal RNA", at positions 50 to 154 of the family's 154-position model. The record is from RNAcentral.